UUUUUUAGAAAUGAAUUUAAUUCAUGCGUCUUAUUUAGAGUUUUAUUAUUUGUUUAUUUAUUUUUAUUUGGCGUUAAGAUUGGGGGGGAUUAGCUUCUUAUUUUAUUUUUAUAAUUUUUUGUUUAUUUAGUCUUGUGGGUUUUAUAGUGAUUUUCAAUUUGAUUAUGUUAAAAUUUUAUUUGUUUUGUUCUUUAUUUUUAUUUAUUUAAUUAUUUAUUGAAAUGUAUUCUUUAUUUUGUUUUGGUUAGUAAUUAUUGUAGAAUUAGUAAAUUUGUUGUUAGGUUGUUUUAUUUGUGUUAAUUUUCUUUGAGGAACUAGGCAAAUUUCAUGUCCGCCUGUUUAACAAAAACAUCUUUUCUCGUUAGUUUUUGAAGUAUGGCCUGCCCACUGACUUUGGUGUUGAAGGGCCGCGGUAUUUUGACCGUGCAAAGGUAGCAUAGUCAUUAGUUCUUUAAUUGUGAUCUGGUAUGAAUGGCUUGACGAGGCAUGGGCUGUCUUAAUUUUGAAUUGUUUAUUGAAUUUGGUCUUUGAGUUAAAAUUCUUAGAUGUUUUUAUGGGACGAGAAGACCCUAUAGAGUUUAACAUUUGUUAUGGUCCCUUUCUGUUUGUGAGGGUUCACUGGGCCGUCUAAUAUGUUUUGUUGGGGUGAUGGGAGGGAUAUAAUUUAACCCCUCCUUUUUAUUAUUAUAUUUAUUUAUAUUUACUGAUCC
RNAcentral lists this ribosomal RNA (710 nucleotides) under Reticulitermes speratus. RNAcentral describes it as "partial 16S ribosomal RNA". The stretch from base 327 to 489 matches the Rfam family "Archaeal large subunit ribosomal RNA", at positions 1883 to 2090 of the family's 2987-position model. The record is from RNAcentral. Lineage: Eukaryota; Metazoa; Arthropoda; Insecta; Blattodea; Rhinotermitidae.